UGGGGAAUUUUGGACAAUGGGCGAAAGCCUGAUCCAGCCAUGCCGCGUGCAGGAUGAAGGCCUUCGGGUUGUAAACUGCUUUUGUACGGAACGAAACGGCCUUUUCUAAUAAAGAGGGCUAAUGACGGUACCGUAAGAAUAAGCACCGGCUAACUACGUGCCAGCAGCCGCGGUAAUACGUAGGGUGCAAGCGUUAAUCGGAAUUACUGGGCGUAAAGCGUGCGCAGGCGGUAAUGUAAGACAGGUGUGAAAUCCCCGGGCUCAACCUGGGAACUGCAUCUGUGACUGCAUUGCUGGAGUACGGUAGAGGGGGAUGGAAUUCCGCGUGUAGCAGUGAAAUGCGUAGAUAUGCGGAGGAACACCGAUGGCGAAGGCAAUCCCCUGGACCUGUACUGACGCUCAUGCACGAAAGCGUGGGGAGCAAACA
RNAcentral lists this ribosomal RNA (427 nucleotides) under uncultured Variovorax sp. Its description in RNAcentral is "bacterial SSU rRNA". It matches the Rfam family "Bacterial small subunit ribosomal RNA", at positions 355 to 774 of the family's 1533-position model. The record is from RNAcentral. Lineage: Bacteria; Pseudomonadati; Pseudomonadota; Betaproteobacteria; Burkholderiales; Comamonadaceae.